Molecule: ribosomal RNA, 889 nt
Filed under: uncultured bacterium
Lineage: Bacteria
Description: bacterial SSU rRNA
Rfam family: Bacterial small subunit ribosomal RNA
Source: RNAcentral
GUGCCAGCCGCCGCGGUAAUACGGAAGGUCCGGGCGUUAUCCGGAUUUAUUGGGUUUAAAGGGAGCGCAGGCGGGUUGUUAAGCGUGACGUGAAAUGUAGCCGCUCAACGGCUGAACUGCGUCGCGAACUGGCAGUCUUGAGUGAGUACGACGUCAGCGGAAUUCGUGGUGUAGCGGUGAAAUGCUUAGAUAUCACGAAGAACCCCGAUUGCGAAGGCAGCUGACGAGUCCUUUACUGACGCUAAAGCUCGAAGGUGCGGGUAUCGAACAGGAUUAGAUACCCUGGUAGUCCGCACGGUAAACGAUGGAUGCCCGCUGUUGGCGAUACAAUGUCAGCGGCCAAGCGAAAGCGUUAAGCAUCCCACCUGGGGAGUACGCCGGCAACGGUGAAACUCAAAGGAAUUGACGGGGGCCCGCACAAGCGGAGGAACAUGUGGUUUAAUUCGAUGAUACGCGAGGAACCUUACCCGGGCUUGAACUGCAGCGGAAGGAUACAGAGAUGUUGACGCCCUUCGGGGCCGCUGUGGAGGUGCUGCAUGGUUGUCGUCAGCUCGUGCCGUGAGGUGUCGGCUUAAGUGCCAUAACGAGCGCAACCCUUUUCUCUAGUUGCCAUCAGGUGAUGCUGGGCACUCUGGAGACACUGCCACCGUAAGGUGUGAGGAAGGUGGGGAUGACGUCAAAUCAGCACGGCCCUUACGUCCGGGGCUACACACGUGUUACAAUGGGUGGUACAGAGAGUCAGGCGUUGGCAACACCGCCUUAAUCCUUAAAGCCAUCCUCAGUUCGGAUUGGGGUCUGCAACCCGACCCCAUGAAGCUGGAUUCGCUAGUAAUCGCGCAUCAGCCAUGGCGCGGUGAAUACGUUCCCGGGCCUUGUACACACCGCCCGU